RNAcentral lists this ribosomal RNA (438 nucleotides) under Phaeocystis sp. JD-2012. RNAcentral describes it as "SSU rRNA". It matches the Rfam family "Eukaryotic small subunit ribosomal RNA", at positions 444 to 886 of the family's 1831-position model. The record is from RNAcentral. Lineage: Eukaryota; Haptophyta; Phaeocystales; Phaeocystaceae.
CCGAAUCCUGACACAGGGAGGUAGUGACAAGAAAUAACAAUACAGGGCUACUUCUAGUCUUGUAAUUGGAAUGAGUACAACUUACAUCUCUUCACGAGGAUCAAUUGGAGGGCAAGUCUGGUGCCAGCAGCCGCGGUAAUUCCAGCUCCAAUAGCGUAUAUUAAAGUUGUUGCAGUUAAAAAGCUCGUAGUCGGAUUUCGGGUCGGGCCGAGCGGUCUGCCGAUGGGUAUGCACUGUUCGGCGCGGCCUUCUUUCCGGAGACCGCGGCUACUCUUAACUGAGCGGGCGUGGGAGACGGAUCGUUUACUUUGAAAAAAUCAGAGUGUUUCAAGCAGGCAGCUCGCUCUUGCAUGGAUUAGCAUGGGAUAAUGAAAUAGGACUCUGGUGCUAUUUUGUUGGUUUCGAACACCGGAGUAAUGAUUAACAGGGACAGUCAGG